GCUGUACGAUGAUGAUACUUUGGCUCCCUCUACUGAUAGCUGGUGAGGAGAGCAGCCAUCCGUUACCCAACAUGGCUGAGAGUACAGC
Molecule: small nucleolar RNA, 88 nt
Filed under: Merops nubicus (carmine bee-eater)
Lineage: Eukaryota; Metazoa; Chordata; Aves; Coraciiformes; Meropidae
Description: Small nucleolar RNA SNORD100
Rfam family: Small nucleolar RNA SNORD100
About the family: The members of this family belong to the C/D class of snoRNAs which contain the C (UGAUGA) and D (CUGA) box motifs. Most of the members of the box C/D family function in directing site-specific 2'-O-methylation of substrate RNAs.
Source: Rfam by way of RNAcentral